Molecule: long non-coding RNA, 202 nt
Filed under: Gopherus agassizii (Agassiz's desert tortoise)
Lineage: Eukaryota; Metazoa; Chordata; Testudines; Testudinidae
Description: lncRNA (ENSGAGG00000015344.1)
Source: RNAcentral
AAUUGCUUGUAGUCACCUUCACAAUGUUAUUGAAGUUCGAGCUGGGAUCUGAAUUCUGACUGAAGUUUGCGAAGGGUUUGGGAAAACGUGAGACUCACAAGAUUCGAAUACCCCCAGACACAAAGACCCCUUUCUGCAAUCUAUUUUUGAAUUCCAAGGAGUCUGAGGAUUGCACAAGGGGCUGGAUCCUGUGGACCACUGG